Molecule: transfer RNA, 73 nt
Filed under: Verruconis gallopava
Lineage: Eukaryota; Fungi; Ascomycota; Dothideomycetes; Venturiales; Sympoventuriaceae
Description: tRNA-Val (TAC) (tRNA-Val-TAC-1-1)
Rfam family: tRNA
About the family: Transfer RNA (tRNA) molecules are approximately 80 nucleotides in length. Their secondary structure includes four short double-helical elements and three loops (D, anti-codon, and T loops). Further hydrogen bonds mediate the characteristic L-shaped molecular structure. tRNAs have two regions of fundamental functional importance: the anti-codon, which is responsible for specific mRNA codon recognition, and the 3' end, to which the tRNAs corresponding amino acid is attached (by aminoacyl-tRNA synthetases). tRNAs cope with the degeneracy of the genetic code in two manners: having more than one tRNA (with a specific anti-codon) for a particular amino acid; and 'wobble' base-pairing, i.e. permitting non-standard base-pairing at the 3rd anti-codon position.
Source: RNAcentral
GCAGUCGUAGUCUAGUGGUUAUGAUGUGACCUUUACACGGUCAAGGCCGGGGGUUCGAUCCCCCCCGACUGUA